UUAUAAAAGUUGAUUUAGGGUAAGGUAAACAGGGGAGGGAUCGAUUGAUUGUUGGUGAAUUGCACAGGUUGGAUAAUUUGGCGCCAACAGAUUCCCUCAUUUCACUCACACUCUCCUGCUUUAUGAUAUCAACGGCGUCGAUUGCAGAUCAUAAAUGGAACCUACAAACAACGUAUUCGUUAGGUACUAGAAAUAAGAAUGACUUCACUUGGGUAGAUUUAUGAAGCAAAGCGGCUCCCUGGGUACAAGUUAGUGAUUUAAACUUCUUAUCGUGUAGGGUUGGCAGGUUGAAUAGUUGAACCCUAACACGACCCAUGUAUUUAUUCAUGUCAAAGACUUAUAGACCUCAACCCAACAUGGUCCGUUUAACUCAUUCAUCUAAAGUCUAAACGAGUCAAAUGGGUUGGCAGAUUAAACAUGUAACUUUAAGCAUGACGUGGUACAUGCCAACCUGAAUUCGACUCAUUUAUUUAAACGG
RNAcentral lists this long non-coding RNA (478 nucleotides) under Helianthus annuus (common sunflower). RNAcentral's name for it is "sRNA HanXRQr2_Chr10g0447821". The record is from RNAcentral. Lineage: Eukaryota; Viridiplantae; Streptophyta; Magnoliopsida; Asterales; Asteraceae.